This 460-nucleotide ribosomal RNA is filed under the name uncultured bacterium. Its description in RNAcentral is "partial 16S ribosomal RNA". It matches the Rfam family "Bacterial small subunit ribosomal RNA", at positions 338 to 795 of the family's 1533-position model. The record is from RNAcentral.
CCUACGGGUGGCAGCAGUGAGGAAUAUUGGUCAAUGGCCGGAAGGCUGAACCAGCCAUGCCGCGUGAAGGUCAGUGCCCUAUGGGCGUUAAACUUCUUUUGUGCGGGAGCAAUAAUGGUCACGUGUGGCCAGACGAGAGUACCGUACGAAUAAGCAUCGGCUAACUCCGUGCCAGCGGCCGCGGGAAUACGGGGGGUGCAAGCGUUAUCCGGAUUUAUUGGGUUUAAAGGGUGCGUAGGCUGUGAGGUAAGUCAGCGGUGAAAUGCCCCCGCUCAACGGGGUGAAGUGCCAUUGAUACUGCCUUGCUGGAGUGCGGAUGCGGUAGGAGGAAUGUGUGGUGUAGCGGUGAAAUGCAUAGAUAUCACACAGAACACCGAUUGCGAAGGCAGCUCACGAAUCCGCGAUUGACGCUGAUGCACGAAAGCGUGGGUAUCAAACAGGAUUAGAUACCCCAGUAGUC